AGAUUGAACGCUGGCGGCAUGCCUUACACAUGCAAGUCGAACGGCAGCACGGGAGCAAUCCUGGUGGCGAGUGGCGAACGGGUGAGUAAUAUAUCGGAACGUGCCCAGUCGUGGGGGAUAACGUAGAGAAAUUUACGCUAAUACCGCAUACGAUCCAAGGAUGAAAGCGGGGGACCGUAAGGCCUCGCGCGACUGGAGCGGCUGAUAUCAGAUUAGCUUGUUGGUGAGGUAAAAGCUCACC
Molecule: ribosomal RNA, 241 nt
Filed under: uncultured soil bacterium
Lineage: Bacteria
Description: partial 16S ribosomal RNA
Rfam family: Bacterial small subunit ribosomal RNA
Source: RNAcentral